UCCAGGGUAGCCUAGUGGACAUGGCAUCUGUCCGGUAAGCGGAAGGUCGUGGGUUCGUUUCCCGCCCCUGGAC
Non-coding RNA from Cordylochernes scorpioides, 73 nucleotides. Lineage: Eukaryota; Metazoa; Arthropoda; Arachnida; Pseudoscorpiones; Chernetidae. The record is from the annotation of a GenBank genome assembly.